Long non-coding RNA from Malus domestica (apple), 705 nucleotides. RefSeq lists it as uncharacterized. The record is from RefSeq and is a predicted model, not a curated record. NCBI's taxonomy places the organism in Eukaryota, Viridiplantae, Streptophyta, Magnoliopsida, Rosales, Rosaceae.
CCAAACGAGACCUAAGUGUUUCAAUGUACUAUAGCGAGCAUCGAAAAUUGGGAGCAAGCAUCAAAAUUGUAAGGUGGAGGCCCAAAUCUAAUUGUAAGCCCGCGUUGGCAAGGCCGUCGGACACAUUUUAUUACACUCUGUUUUGACGACCAAGCAACAAGAAGGGCGUCGGAGCGGCUGAUUUUGUAUCAAACCUGACGAUUGUAUUUGGAAGCUCUCAUUCUGUCGUCGGCUUUGCUUUAAUCUCUAUUAUCGGAGGAGAUGAAGAAAGGGAUGCACCCUCAGAUGCAAUGGAUAUCUUACGUGACACAGAGUGGGAGAUUGAUGCAGGUUAUGAUGCCAAAGAUCCACCACGCUGGUAAAGUCUACCACUUGAAGGCGAAACGCCAAAUGGCUGAGCAUAUGAGCCAGAUGGCCAAGUUUAGGCAGCGUUACGAGAAGCAGAUUGCUCCGAGAGAUAAACCGUGAUUGCUAAGUCAACGUGCCUAUGGAUUGAAAAGGUUUGGAUUCUUUGACAACUUUGUUUCGGAAUAAAGAUGAACUUGCUUUGUGAGAUUUUAAGCACUUGUGCCUUGCCACUCUAUGUUUUGUUUAACUUGGAGAAAAGUUUAAGUUUCUGUUUAAGUCAAAGGGAAAAGUUGAUAAAGUCUUUCAUGCUAAUCACUGUUGAUAUUCUAUCAGAAGUAGAAUUAAUCUGGAUUUGGA